UUGACCUCGGAUCAGGCAGGGAUACCCGCUGAACUUAAGCAUAUCAAUAAGCGGAGGAAAAGAAACCAACAGGGAUUGCCUCAGUAACGGCGAGUGAAGCGGCAACAGCUCAAAUUUGAAAUCUGGCUCUUUUAGGGUCCGAGUUGUAAUUUGUAGAGGAUGCUUCGGCGUCCGCUCCGGUCUAAGUUCCUUGGAACAGGACGUCAUAGAGGGUGAGAAUCCCGUAUGUGAUCGGUUGCCCUUGCCAUGUGAAGCUCCUUCGACGAGUC
RNAcentral lists this ribosomal RNA (269 nucleotides) under uncultured Cenococcum. RNAcentral's name for it is "partial 28S ribosomal RNA". It matches the Rfam family "Eukaryotic large subunit ribosomal RNA", at positions 1 to 266 of the family's 3401-position model. Lineage: Eukaryota; Fungi; Ascomycota; Dothideomycetes; Gloniales; Gloniaceae. The record is from RNAcentral.